AAACAUCGCCUCCUGCAAAAACCCAAAUAUAGGAGGUCCUACCUGCCCAGUGGCUAAGUUUUAACGGCCGCGGUAUUUUGACCGUGCAAAGGUAGCGUAAUCACUUGUCUUUUAAAUAAAGACCUGUAUGAAUGGUGAAACGAGGGCUUAACUGUCUCCCUUUUCCAAUCAAUGAAAUUGAUCUACCCGUGCAGAAGCGGGUAUAAACUUACAAGACGAGAAGACCCUAUGGAGCUUAAGACAUAAAGUCACCUGUACUAAAAACCCUAAAUUAUAAAGGAUAAAGCACAAUCAGCCAUUGACUGACGUCUUCGGUUGGGGCGACCGCGGAGGAAAAAAAAUCCCCCAUGUGGAAUGAGACAUUUCUCCAAACCACGAGACACACCUCUAAGUAACAGAACUUCUGACCAAACGAUCCGGCACUUAGCCGACCAACGAACUAAGUUACCCUAGGGAUAACAGCGCAAUCCUCUUCAAGAGUUCAUAUCGACAAGGGGGUUUACGACCUCGAUGUUGGAUCAGGACAUCCUAAUGGUGCAGCCGCUAUUAAGGGUUCGUUUGUUCAACGAUUAAAGUCCUACGUG
Molecule: ribosomal RNA, 584 nt
Filed under: Hemigrammus marginatus
Lineage: Eukaryota; Metazoa; Chordata; Actinopteri; Characiformes; Acestrorhamphidae
Description: partial 16S large subunit ribosomal RNA
Rfam family: Bacterial large subunit ribosomal RNA
Source: RNAcentral